GUGGGUUUUGGUGUCUCUCAGGUGGUUUUGGUCUAUCUCAGGUGGGUUUGGUGUAUCUCAGGUGGUUUUGGUGUAUCUCAGGUGGUUUUGGUGUCUCUCAGGUGGGUUUGGUGUCUCUCAGGUGGGUUUUGGUCUAUCUCAGGUGAAUUUUGGUGUCUCUCAGGUGGUUUUGGUCUAUCUCAGGUGGGUUUUGGUGUAUCUCAGGUGUAUCUCAGGUGGGUUUUGGUGUAUCUCAGGUGGUUUUGGUGUAUCUCAGGUGGGUUUGGUGUAUCUCAGGUGGUUUUGGUGUCUCUCAGGUGGUUUUGGUGUCUCUCAGGUGGGUUUGGUGUCUCUCAGGUGGGUUUGGUGUCUCUCAGGUGUAUCUCAGGUGGGUUUUUGGGUCUCCCAGGUGUCUCUCAGGUGCACCGGUUGGUUACUGGCUGGUUACUGGUUGGUUAGUGGUUGGUUAGUGGUUGGUUAGCGGUUGGUUAGUGGUUGGUUAGCGGUUGGUUAGUGGGUUGGUUACGGGUUGGUUACCGUGGUUAGUGGUUGGUUAGCGGUUGGUUAGCGGUUGGUUAGUGGGUUGGUUAGUGGGUUGGUUACCGUGGUUAGUGGUUGGUUAGUGGUUGGUUAGCGGUUGGUUAGCGGUUGGUUAGUGGUCGGUUAGUGGGCCCCGGGCAGCGGUCGCUGGGGUCGCUUCCCGCGGUCACCGGGUCCCUCCAGCCGGUUGACGCCUUUGCCGCCGUCGUGGUCGCCAUGGAGACCAUGGAGAUGCUUCUCCUGGUGGUGGUCAUGGUGGUCGCCAUGGAGACCGUGAAGAUGCUUCUCCUGGUGCUGGUGGCCCUGGAGAUCGUUGUGGUCGCCAUGGAAACCGUGAAGGUGCUUCUCCUGGUGCUGGUCCCCGUGCUUCUCCUGCUGGUGGUGGCCGUGGAGACCGUGGGGAUGUUUCUCCAGGUGAUGGUUGCCAUGGAGACCAUCGUGGUCGCCAUGGAGAUCCUUGUGGUUGCCCUGGUGACCGCCAUGGUGGUCCCUGUGCUUCUCCUGGUGGCGGUUGCCAUGGUGACCGUCGUGGUCGCCGUGGAGAUCAUAAAGAUGUUUCUCCAUGUGGUGGUUGCCAUGGAGACCAUCGUGGUGGUGGUCCCCAUGGUUUUCAUGGUGGUGGUUGCCAUGGAGACCAUAAUGGUUGCUAUGGAGAUGGUGGGGAUGCUUCUCCUGGCGGUGGUUGCCAUGGAGACCGUCGUGGUGGUCCCCGCGCUUCUCCUGGUGAUGGUUGCCAUGGAGAUCGUCGUGGUUGCCAUGGAAACGGUGAUGCUCGGCGUGGUCCCUGUGCUUUUCCUGGUGAUGGUCGCCAUGGUGACCGUGGGGAUGUCUCUCCUGGUAGUGGUUGCCAUGGAGACCGUGAAGAUGCUUUUCAUGGUGGUGGCUCUCAUGGAAACCAUCGUGGUUGCCAUGGAAACCAUGGGCAUGCUUCUCCUGGUGGUGGUCGCCAUGGAAACCAUCGUGGUUGCCAUGGAAACCAUCGUGGUUGCCAUGGAGACCGUGGGGAUGCUUUUCAUGGUGAUGGUUGCCGUGGUAGCCAUCGUGGUGGUCCCCGUGCUUCUCCUGGUGAUGGUUUCCAUGGAGAUCAUCAUGGUUGUCAUGGUGACCGUGAUGCUGGGCGUGGUCCCCGUGCUUCUCCUGGUGGUGGUUGCCAUGGAGACCAUGAAGAUGUUUCUCCAGGUGAUGGUUGCCACGCAGAUGGUGGUGGUUGCCAUGGUGACCGUCACGGACAUCCCCGUGCUUUUCCUGGUGGUGGUUGCCAUGGUGACCAUCGUGGUCGCCAUGGCGACCGUGGGGAUGUUUCUCCUGGUGGUGGUCGCCGUGGUGACCGUGCUUCUCGUGGUGAUGGUUGCCAUGGAAACCGUGAUGCUGGGCGUGGUCCCCGUGCUUCUCCUGGUGGUGGUUGCCAUGGACACCAUGGGGAUGCUUCUCCACGUGGUGGUUGCCAUGGAAACUGUGAAGAUGCUUCUCGUGGUCGCCGUGGAGACCGUGGUGGUUGCCAUGGUGACCGUGAUGCUCAGCGUGGUCCCCGUGCUUUUCGUGAUGGUGGUCGCCAUGGUGACCAUCGUGGUGGUCCCCGUACUUCUCGUGGUGAUGGUUGCCAUGGUGACCAUGGGGAUGUUUCUCAUGGUGGUGGUCACCAUGGUGACCAUGAAGAUGCUUCUCCUGGUGGUGGUCACCAUGGAGACCAUGGUGGUUGCCAUGGAGACCAUGGGGAUGCUUUUCAUGGUGGUUGCCGUGGAGAUCGUUGUGGUUGCCAUGGUGACCAUGAAGAUGUUUCUCUUGGUGGUGGUCACCAUGGAGACCAUCGUGGUU
Molecule: long non-coding RNA, 2334 nt
Filed under: Lonchura striata (white-rumped munia)
Lineage: Eukaryota; Metazoa; Chordata; Aves; Passeriformes; Estrildidae
Description: domestica (Bengalese finch) lncRNA (ENSLSDG00000011229.1)
Source: RNAcentral